AGUGAACGCUGGCGGUAGGCCUAACACAUGCAAGUCGAACGGCAGCACAGUAAGAGCUUGCUCUUACGGGUGGCGAGUGGCGGACGGGUGAGGAAUACAUCGGAAUCUACUUUUUCGUGGGGGAUAACGUAGGGAAACUUACGCUAAUACCGCAUACGACCUACGGGUGAAAGCAGGGGAUCUUCGGACCUUGCGCGAUUGAAUGAGCCGAUGUCGGAUUAGCUAGUUGGCGGGGUAAAGGCCCACCAAGGCGACGAUCCGUAGCUGGUCUGAGAGGAUGAUCGGCCACACUGGAACUGAGCCACGGUCCAGACUCCUACGGGAGGCAGCAGUGGGGAAUAUUGGACAAUGGGCGCAAGCCUGAUCCAGCCAUACCGCGUGGGUGAAGACGGCCUUCGGGUUGUAAAGACCUUUUGUUGGGAAAGAAAAGCAGCAGGUUAAUACCCCGCUGUUCUGACGGUACCCAAAGAAUAAGCACCGGCUAACUUCGUG
This 492-nucleotide ribosomal RNA is filed under the name uncultured bacterium. RNAcentral's name for it is "partial 16S ribosomal RNA". It matches the Rfam family "Bacterial small subunit ribosomal RNA", at positions 29 to 507 of the family's 1533-position model. The record is from RNAcentral.